This 493-nucleotide ribosomal RNA is filed under the name uncultured bacterium. RNAcentral's name for it is "partial 16S ribosomal RNA". It matches the Rfam family "Bacterial small subunit ribosomal RNA", at positions 28 to 503 of the family's 1533-position model. The record is from RNAcentral.
GAUGAACGCUGGCGGCGUGCCUAAUACAUGCAAGUCGAGCGAACAGAUGAGGAGCUUGCUCCUCUGACGUUAGCGGCGGACGGGUGAGUAACACGUGGAUAACCUACCUAUAAGACUGGGAUAACUUCGGGAAACCGGAGCUAAUACCGGAUAAUAUAUUGAACCGCAUGGUUCAAUAGUGAAAGACGGUUUUGCUGUCACUUAUAGAUGGAUCCGCGCCGCAUUAGCUAGUUGGUAAGGUAACGGCUUACCAAGGCAACGAUGCGUAGCCGACCUGAGAGGGUGAUCGGCCACACUGGAACUGAGACACGGUCCAGACUCCUACGGGAGGCAGCAGUAGGGAAUCUUCCGCAAUGGGCGAAAGCCUGACGGAGCAACGCCGCGUGAGUGAUGAAGGUCUUCGGAUCGUAAAACUCUGUUAUUAGGGAAGAACAAAUGUGUAAGUAACUAUGCACGUCUUGACGGUACCUAAUCAGAAAGCCACGGCUAACUA